Molecule: non-coding RNA, 660 nt
Organism: Castor canadensis (American beaver)
Lineage: Eukaryota; Metazoa; Chordata; Mammalia; Rodentia; Castoridae
Source: RefSeq, a predicted model, not a curated record
CAGGCACCGACCGCCACGAGCUCACUUCCUGGAAGAGCUUCCCGUCUAUUUUCAAAUUCUUUACCGAAGCCUCUGAGGCCAAGACCAGUUCUCUGAAGCCGGCUCUGACGCGACGCUCCCACCGAAUAAAACACGAAGAGCUGUAAGAGGAGAGCGGGCGCGACGGGGCGGGACGCCGGGAACCGCGCCCGGGCGCGUCCUCUUCAUGGCGAGCAGCCUCCCAAGCCCCUCAUUAGAUUGUUUUCUUCCUAGAGCACAGGGUCGUGAUAUGUACAUCUAAGUAGCGUUUUGCAUUAUUUCUAGAUGAGUGCAACUGUCAAAGCAAUAUGGGUUCACUGGUCGCGCUUCCCGCGGGCCGAGCUCGGCUCCGCGCUGCCGGCCCGCGCGCAGAUCCGGGCUGACAGCGCCCGGCCCGCGCCGUCGGCCGCUCUAAUUGCCUGGCGGAGCCAUGGGCGCCCGCGGCGUCUGCGCGGUCCUACCGCCCGCGGCAGCGAGGCCGCCCCGCCGCCUCCCUCCGGACCACGUCCGCUUUACCCGGCCUGAACGAACGGAGCACGCUUUUAUUCUCCACCUCAAAACUUCCACCUUAACUUUUUUUCUUUCUCUUUCUUUUUCUUUCUUCCUUCCUUCCUUCUUCUUUCCUUCCUUCCUCUCUUUCCU